GUGCCAGCCGCGCGGUAAUACGUAGGGUCCGAGCGUUGUCCGGAAUUACUGGGCGUAAAGAGCUCGUAGGUGGUUUGUCGCGUUGUUCGUGAAAACUCACAGCUUAACUGUGGGCGUGCGGGCGAUACGGGCAGACUUGAGUACUGCAGGGGAGACUGGAAUUCCUGGUGUAGCGGUGGAAUGAGCAGAUAUCAGGAGGAACACCGGUGGCGAAGGCGGGUCUCUGGGCAGUAACUGACGCUGAGGAGCGAAAGCUUGGGGAGCGAACAGGAUUAGAUACCCUGGUAGUCCACGCCGUAAACGGUGGGUACUAGGUGUGGGUUUCCUUCCUUGGGAUCCGUGCCGUAGCUAACGCAUUAAGUACCCCGCCUGGGGAGUACGGCCGCAAGCUAAAAACUCAAAGAAAUUGACGGGGGCCCGCACAAGCGGCGGAGCAUGUGGAUUAAUUCGAUGCAACGCGAAGAACCUUACCUGGGUUUGACAUGCACAGGACGACUGCAGAGAUGUGGUUUCCCUUGUGGCCUGUGUGCAGGUGGUGCAUGGCUGUCGUCAGCUCGUGUCGUGAGAUGUUGGGUUAAGUCCCGCAACGAGCGCAACCCUUGUCCUAUGUUGCCAGCGGGUUAUGCCGGGGACUCGUAGGAGACUGCCGGGGUCAACUCGGAGGAAGGUGGGGAUGACGUCAAGUCAUCAUGCCCCUUAUGUCCAGGGCUUCACACAUGCUACAAUGGCCGGUACAAAGGGCUGCGAUGCCGUGAGGUGGAGCGAAUCCUUUCAAAGCCGGUCUCAGUUCGGAUCGGGGUCUGCAACUCGACCCCGUGAAGUCGGAGUCGCUAGUAAUCGCAGAUCAGCAACGCUGCGGUGAAUACGUUCCCGGGCCUUGCACACACCGCCCGUC
This 895-nucleotide ribosomal RNA is filed under the name uncultured organism. Its description in RNAcentral is "SSU rRNA". It matches the Rfam family "Bacterial small subunit ribosomal RNA", at positions 505 to 1398 of the family's 1533-position model. The record is from RNAcentral.